AUGAACGCUGGCGGCGUGCCUAAUACAUGCAAGUCGAGCGAACGGACGAGAAGCUUGCUUCUCUGAUGUUAGCGGCGGACGGGUGAGUAACACGUGGAUAACCUACCUAUAAGACUGGGAUAACUUCGGGAAACCGGAGCUAAUACCGGAUAAUAUUUUGAACCGCAUGGUUCAAAAGUGAAAGACGGUCUUGCUGUCACUUAUAGAUGGAUCCGCGCUGCAUUAGAUAGUUGGUAAGGUAACGGCUUACCAAGGCAACGAUGCAUAGCCGACCUGAGAGGGUGAUCGGCCACACUGGAACGGAGACACGUUCCAGACUCCUACGGGGAGCAGCGGUAGGGAAUCUUCCGCAAUGGACGAAAGCCUGACGUAGCAACGCCGCGUGAGUGAUGAAGGUCUUCGGAUCGUAAAACUCUGUUAUUAGGGGAGAACAUAUGUGUAAGUAACUGUGCACAUCUUGACGGUACCUAAUCAGAAAGCCACGGCUAACUACGUG
RNAcentral lists this ribosomal RNA (496 nucleotides) under uncultured bacterium. RNAcentral describes it as "partial 16S ribosomal RNA". It matches the Rfam family "Bacterial small subunit ribosomal RNA", at positions 29 to 507 of the family's 1533-position model. The record is from RNAcentral.